UGGACGUGGUCAAGUACGAGAGUGGCCCUGACGGAGGGGAGGAAGUGAGUAUGAGCGUAGAGUGGAAUGGGGCCUAGCCGCCCGGUGCCUCCCCUCUGCUCCUGCAUGACGGGCAGCGCCUCCUCCGGCCCCUCCAGUGCUGUCCGCUGUCUAGCAGCCCUAGGAGCUUGUCAGCCGCACCUCUGGGACUGGCCCCUCCUUUCGGUGCUGCCGUCCUAUGGGGUCUUGAUUUCUGGAUACAUGUAGCUUUGCCAGAUAUGUACUUAGAAAUAUCAACCGUGUUAAUAAGCCCAUUAAUGUGUAACACACAAGUUUAACAGUUAAGAGAGAGUAGCUGUUCAUCUUGAGGACAGGCGUUAGUGUCACACAGGUUUAUUACAGUGGCAUGAUAGUGACCUGUGCAGUCACUGAGCUGUAGGAGUGAGGCAUGUGCUGCACGUCCCUGUCGUACUUAGAGACCUGGCAGUGCCCUGCUCCGGGCCUCCCCAGGACACACUGACGUAGAUUUGCUGUGUAGUCUUGGUGUGGAAAUUUGAAUUCUGCUUUUCACUACUAAUCUGAAGUGCUCCGUGAUGUGUGUAUGUGUCUUUCUAACUUCUAAUAAACUCACUCCAGCUGA
This 619-nucleotide long non-coding RNA is filed under the name Rattus norvegicus (Norway rat). RNAcentral describes it as "long non-coding RNA NONRATT024688". The record is from RNAcentral. Lineage: Eukaryota; Metazoa; Chordata; Mammalia; Rodentia; Muridae.